This is a long non-coding RNA of Tupaia belangeri chinensis (Chinese tree shrew), 823 nucleotides long. RefSeq lists it as uncharacterized. The transcript has 3 exons. NCBI's taxonomy places the organism in Eukaryota, Metazoa, Chordata, Mammalia, Scandentia, Tupaiidae. The record is from RefSeq and is a predicted model, not a curated record.
CAUUCGAGGUCGGAGGCCUUUCGGGCCAUCAGCCCGGGCGAUCCUCCUGAUCCCACGUUCGCCUCGAGCCUUUGCUCCCCACCGCUCUCUGGGACCUGCACUCUUGAUCAGCAACACAGGACACCUGGACAAGGACCUGAGAACAAGAGAACUGUCUCCAGGAAGGUGAAGGAGCCUCUGCAGAGACAAGGGACCUGAGUACGAAGCAUCCAGUGAAGAGCACCCGAGGAGGGGACGGCAGAGAAUCAUCCCGGGAAAGGACAGCAGAGAAUCGUCCUGAGAAAGGCCGCAGAGGAGGAUGGCAGAGAAUUGUCCUGAGAAAGGCCGCAGAGGAGGAUGGCAGAGAAUCGUCCCAACAGGGAGGUCUCUGUCUUGCUUUACAGGAACGCUGCUACUUUUACGCCAAGUCCGGCAUCAUUCGUGACAAGAUACAUCAACUCCAAGAAUCUCUCCAACAACGUAGAAAACGACUCGCCGAUGGUCUGCCUGGAACGGUGUCUUCCCUUUCCUGCUCCCCUUCCUUGGCCCAUUCAUUGGAUUUUUAAUUGUUUGCUCACUGAGACCUGUUAUAUUUAAUAGGCACAUGUCAUUCCUCAAACAGCAAAUUGACUUGCUUAUGGAAGACCAACACCCCUAUACUGGUCUCGCCUGAGGCGCUGAAUCGGUUAGCCAAAGACGGGUAAGAGAGUCUGAUGAACCCAAUAACUGUUCAGUCCUUCCACCUAAGACAGGAGGCCCAUCAUAGCUAUGGGACUCUCCAAUGACGGGUAAGGAUGGAUGUAUGGUUCCAUAAACGGCUCCAACCUAAGACAGGCACGAUUCC